CGUUUUCCUGCCUCUGCCUCCCAAGUGCUGGGAUUAAAGGUGUGCGCCGCAGCUACCACCGACACCAGCACGGCCCGUCUCCAAAAUAGUUUUCGAAACUGGUUUUUCAUGCCGGUUUUGAAUUAAGGUCAGUAGUUGCAAAAAUUGAACAUUAGGUGAUGCUCAAUUGUCUUAACAUAGAAAUACUAUUUUAAUUGUUGAGAUGGUUGCUUGUCUCAACUAGUGUGAAUAGGAAAUUUCCCAAACAAAGAAAAGAUUGUUUUAAUCAUGUGCGUAGAAUAUUUUUACCCAACAGAAAGAUGGUAUUGGAGUAUUGCUUUUUUUUUUCAGGAGUCUUACUCACAUAAGCUACAAUUUUGAGUACUUUAUAAACACACAAAACAUAGGCAAGUGAAAAUAUAAAUUUUACAGAGCAAAAGUAUAAAUUAAUGCUUUUUCGGGCUUUCCCUAAACUUGAGAGGAAAUGAGGGGAUAACAAACUUAUGCCUGACAUAAUGGCAUGGCCUGUGACCCUGCGCAGAAGGGCAGGGCAGGAGGAUCAGGAGUUCUGCAUGUUUUCAGAAACUGGUUUUUAAUGCCAAUUUUGAAGAAAUGUCUCAAAAACAACGUUCAUAAAAAGAUGUUUUCUUAUUUCUGAAUCAAAGAGCUAUAGCCGAAAAAGUAGUGUGUCGCAGAGGAUCUUGUCGUCUGGUUUUACAUUAGGAACAAGUUUACCGUGGGGAGGGUCCAGGGGAAUCCCAUUUUCUUUCUACUGGGAAAUUAGGUUUGCUCUUAUUUAGGAGUUCUAAGACUAGGAGCUGAGCUAGUCGGAACUCACUAGACAUGCUGAAAUCAUUUGGGUUUCAAACCAAGAUCCAUCCUGCAGCAUGCGGACCUUGUAUUUUGCUAGCAGCCAGAAAGCUUUUCGUUCAUGAAAACUGACACACAAAGGAAUGCGCCUUUCACGUGGUUUCACAAACAAGGAGAUCUGCUCUAAUUAUUUCCUAACUAUGACUUCAUCUCCUCGGUUUGCACACUCUGCCUCAAAAGCCGAGGUACCAUAAAAACAUUGGGAAAGACACAGUGGUGCAGUGUAUAUUUCUUCUUCUGUGGAGUUCCUCCGUGUUUAUCUUGGCAGACUGCAUCUGAGAACAAGGCUGCCAAUAGCCUCGCAGCGUUUGCUGAGCAAUUGUCUUCCUUAGUAAUUAGACCUCUGUACCUUAAAAGUGUUUCACCAGCUGGAUGUAGCGUACCCCUGGGAUCCCAGCUCUGGGGGAUUUGUCAUUGAAUAGUAGCUAGGGCUACAUAAGGCACUGGCUCAAAAACAACAAUAGAAACCAUUUUUGCUCAAUUUGCAUAUAUAUAGAUUACUCUAUGAGCAGUGCUUUGCUUCUGCUUAGGUGAUACAGCUCGAGUCUUGAUUUUCUAUUUUCUGUAACAAACAAGAUUUGAAAUGAUUUUAGAAAUUAGACAAUGACCCCACUUCCUAUCUCUUCUGGUGGUUUUCUCUUUUCUUCUUCUUCUUCCCUAAAGCAGCAUUAUUGAGUGCUUUUGCAUCCUGGAAGAUCUGGAGACAUUGAUUUAAAAUAGUUGAAUGCAGUUGUAUUAAUACAGUAUACAAAUGCUACCUGGAAGAGUUCUUUGAUGUGUAUUUGGUGUGGGAAUCAUACAGUGUCACAAAUCCAGUUUUAGUUCUAAUAAGGAAUGGAAAUAGUCUUUAAGGAAAUUAUUUGGUUUCUUUAUUUUUGGUUCCUAUAGUAUAGCUCCAAGCAGCACCUAGGAAGAAUAAUAAAAUGUUUGAAAUCGAAGAAUAAUGGUUUUUUGUUUUGUGGAGGGGAGGAUUGUUUUGGUUUUGAGGGUGGAGUUUUUUUUUUGUUGUUGUUGUUUUUUGUUUUGGUUUGGUUUUAUUUUUUUGAGACAGGAUCUCAUGUACCGCCAGGCUGGCCUUAAAAUACCAAUAGCUAACUAAGGCCAGCCUCAAAUUCUGAUCCUCUGCCUUUACCUCCCAAAUGCUGGGGUUUCAAGUGUGUACAAGCUCACCCAACUAGACUAAUACCUCUUCCUAUUAAGAUGAUGUAACAAGUUAGUCCUAAUCAAUCUCAUAGGCUCAUGCCAAGUUCUUGGUGUGAUUCCCCAACACCCAUAAACAGAGCAGUUUGAUAGGGUUGUAUUUUUCCUGUAGUUUAUUCCAGUUGAGCAUGAACAAUGUGUGUUGCUAAAGUGGCGGUGUAACCACACCAAGUGUCUGUAAAAUGACUUGCCAGCAUUUAGCCAUUUGCCUGUUGAAUCUUUCUUAACCAUCUUUUAAGGGAACCACUUUAGGAGAUUACAAGUAUUCAUGAUAGGGAUUUUUUUUAUACUUUAUUGGAGAGUAGCCAUUGGUUUACUCAUCCCAUGUAUGGAAUUGUGGCUGUAAGUUGUCGCUUAAAAAAUUCCGUGACUUGUAACGUUACUUAAUCUGGAUUAUCUUAGUAAUAAACUUUAAAUUACUAUGCUAAACAACAUCUUGAAUAGAAAUUGUCAGUGUUGACUACAGAGUAACUGAAUAAUCAUAUAGGUAGUAGCAUGUUUUAAAUAGCUAGAUUUCUACUCAUUUUGUAUUCUGUUCAAAUAUAAUGAUGUUCACUAUAAACUGUAGCUUUUCAGGUAAAGUAUCAGAAUGAAGACAGUUCAUAAAGAUUAAAAAGGAUUUGUAUCUAUAUGAUAUUCAUCCUGCUCAGUAAAGAUAAGUUUCAUUUAUAUACUGAUAGGACUCCCUUGGACUUUUGCACACUACCUUCAAGUUUACAGUUUACCUUAAACCAUCAUUUUCCAUCCUUGUUCAGAAAAAGAACAAAAUCUGAAUUAAGUUGUAUUCCAAGUGUAUGGAAACACUAGACUGAGCAAUUGAGAGACUGUACUGGACACCUACCAGGUUCUUGAGAGACAGACAGUGUGCUAGAAAUAGAAAAGAAUAUGGGCACUGGGCCCAGAAUUAUUGGAGGGCUAAUAACAGACAUUUGUAUGCAUGACACACUUGGCAUCUACUUUUCACAUGGGAAUCCAGGACUGUAAGAAGAUGCAUGUCUCCUGUAUUCCCUAUGUAACAUAUCUUUUGCUUGCAGUCUUUUUCAUUCCUAUGAUAGAAGGGACAUGUAGAAUAUAUAUUUGUAUUAUGUGGACACUACAAUGGCUGCCACACCAUCUUUAUUUAAUUCAGCAGGUAGGAGUCUCAAAAGUUGCUUGAAGCUAUUUUAUAGAAUCCCAACUGCUCUAUAUUUCUUCAGAGAAAGUUUAUAGUCACUAAUAAAGCUGGCUAUGGUGACGUGUCGUUUUUAUGCUUUAACGAGUUCUUUUGCCAUAGGUUCUUUUUCCAUCAUGUGGAACAAUGUAAAGAAAUCAGAUGCAAAGUACAAUUAGAAAAUAAAACACAAAAAC
Molecule: long non-coding RNA, 3396 nt
Filed under: Mus musculus (house mouse)
Lineage: Eukaryota; Metazoa; Chordata; Mammalia; Rodentia; Muridae
Description: long non-coding RNA chrX:159386216-159389612
Source: RNAcentral